AAUAGCGUAUAUUAAGUUGCUGCAGUUAAAAAGCUCGUAGUUGGAUUUCUGGUACGGCGUGCCUGGCCCGCGCCGUUAGGUGUGAGUGCCGGGUCGCGCCUGCCAUCCUUCUAGAUAGCGGCUCUACCCCUCACGGGGCCGGAGUUUGCCGUCUAGAUCUUUUACUUUGAAAAAAUUAGAGUGUUUCAAGCAGGCUUAUGCUAUGAAUACAUUAGCAUGGAAUAAUCAACUAGGACUUCGGUUCUAUUUUGUUGGUUUCUAGGACUGAAGUAAUGAUUGAUAGGGAUAGUUGGGGGUGCCAGUAUUCAGCGGCCAGAGGUGAAAUUCUCGGAUUCGCUGAAGACUAACUAAUGCGAAAGCAUUCACCAAGUUUGUUUUCUUUAAUCAAGAACGAAAGUUGGGGGAUCGAAGACGAUCAGAUACCGUCGUAGUCUCAACCAUAAACUAUGCCGACUAGGGAUGGGUGAACGUUGUUUUCGACUUCAUCCGCACCUUAUGAGAAAUCAAAGUCCUUGGGUUCCGGGGGGAGUAUGGUCGCAAGGCUGAAACUUAAAGGAAUUGACGGAAGGGCACCACCAGGAGUGGAGCCUGCGGCUUAAUUUGACUCAACGCGGGGAAACUUACCAGGUCCAGACACAGUGAGGAUUGACAGAUUGAAGAUCUUUCUUGAU
Molecule: precursor RNA, 671 nt
Filed under: uncultured Cercozoa
Lineage: Eukaryota; Cercozoa
Description: partial 18S ribosomal RNA
Rfam family: Eukaryotic small subunit ribosomal RNA
Source: RNAcentral